UAAGAAGUUACUUAAGGGCGAACGGAGGAUGCCUAGGCUUCUAUGGGCGAAGAAGGACGUGGUAAGCUGCGAAAAGCUGCGGUGAUUAGCAAACAUGAGUUGAUCCGCAGAUAUCCUAAUGGGGCAACCCGGCCGGUUGAAGACCGGUCACAUCGAGAGAUGGGCCAACGCAGGGAACUGAAACAUCUAAGUACCUGCAGGAAAAGAAAGAAAUAUCGAUUCUCUGAGUAGUGGCGAGCGAAAGGGGAAUAGCCUAAACCAAUAUUGUUUCGGCAAUAUUGGGGUUGUAGGACCGCGAUAUUGGCAUAUAAAAUGAAGUGGAAUUAACUGGAAAGUUAGAUCGUAGAGGGUGAUAAUCCCGUACAUAUAAGUUUUAUAUAUCAUAGCGGUAUCCUGAGUAGGGCGGGACACGAGGAAUCCUGUCUGAAUCUACGGGGACCAUCCCGUAAGGCUAAAUACCAAUAGAAGACCGAUAGUGAACCAGUACUGUGAAGGAAAGGUGAAAAGUACCCCGAACAGGGGGGUGAAAUAGAACCUGAAACCGUUCGCUUACAAGCGGUCGGAGUCCCUUCGUGGGAUGACGGCGUGCCUUUUGCAUAAUGAGCCUACGAGUUGCAUCUCACUAGCAAGGUUAAGUACUUAAGGUACGGAGCCGAAGCGAAAGCGAGUCUGAAUAGGGCGCUUUAGUUAGUGGGAGCAGACGCGAAACCUUGUGAUCUACCCUUGACCAGGUUGAAGGAGCCGUAACAGGCUGUGGAGGACCGAACCAGUAUUCGUUGAAAAGAAUUUGGAUGAGUUGAGGGUAGGGGUGAAAGGCUAAUCAAACUGGGAGAUAGCUCGUACUCCCCGAAAUGUCUUUUGGGACAGCCUCAUUUUAUAGCUUAUCGGAGGUAGAGCUACUGAUAGGAUGCGAGGGCUUCAUCGCCUAUCAAUUCCUGACAAACUCCGAAUGCCGAUAAGUGUUUAAUGGGAGUGAGUCGCCGGGUGCUAAUGUCCGGUGGCGAGAGGGAAAGAGCCCAGACCAACAGCUAAGGCCCCCAAACGUGUGUUAAGUUGA
Molecule: ribosomal RNA, 1057 nt
Filed under: Burkholderiaceae bacterium
Lineage: Bacteria; Pseudomonadati; Pseudomonadota; Betaproteobacteria; Burkholderiales; Burkholderiaceae
Description: partial 23S ribosomal RNA
Rfam family: Bacterial large subunit ribosomal RNA
Source: RNAcentral